Non-coding RNA from Paramuricea clavata, 260 nucleotides. NCBI's taxonomy places the organism in Eukaryota, Metazoa, Cnidaria, Anthozoa, Malacalcyonacea, Plexauridae. The record is from the annotation of a GenBank genome assembly.
CAAUGGAUGACUUGCGCUUUAGAAAAAAUUUUAAUCUGGGAAUAACUAAGGAUAUUUUCGGAAAGAAGUUAUCAAAAUUAGAAAAACUGCAAAGUUUGGUUGCGAAAUAUUGUAAAAUACGGAAAAUAUAGCCCCGCGAAGUUGGCAAAUUUGUAUACAUUUCUAUUACGUGCGGAAAUUGGUAACUAAUUUAGUUACCAAUUCACGCACGUAAUACAAAAGUAUACAAAUUUGCCAACUUUGAAGGGCUAUAUUUUCCG